This 384-nucleotide ribosomal RNA is filed under the name uncultured Ochrobactrum sp. RNAcentral's name for it is "bacterial SSU rRNA". It matches the Rfam family "Bacterial small subunit ribosomal RNA", at positions 505 to 895 of the family's 1533-position model. The record is from RNAcentral. Lineage: Bacteria; Pseudomonadati; Pseudomonadota; Alphaproteobacteria; Hyphomicrobiales; Brucellaceae.
GUGCCAGCAGCAGCGGUAAUACGAAGGGGGCUAGCGUUGUUCGGAUUUACUGGGCGUAAAGCGCACGUAGGCGGACUUUUAAGUCAGGGGUGAAAUCCCGGGGCUCAACCCCGGAACUGCCUUUGAUACUGGGAGUCUUGAGUAUGGAAGAGGUGAGUGGAAUUCCGAGUGUAGAGGUGAAAUUCGUAGAUAUUCGGAGGAACACCAGUGGCGAAGGCGGCUCACUGGUCCAUUACUGACGCUGAGGUGCGAAAGCGUGGGAGCAAACAGGAUUAGAUACCCUGGUAGUCCACGCCGUAAACGAUGAAUGUAGCCGUCGGGAUUAUCUUUCGGUGGCGCAGCUAACGCAUUAACAUUCCGCCUGGGGAGUACGGUCGCAAGAUU